UCAAGCAAUCGAGAUCCCGAGCGGAGGUCGAACGCGCACCCCCGACCCACACUGCAGGACGGAGAUCAUUUGCUCGAGUCGCCCAUGAGAUAAUGUAGAAGGAAGGUGAAGAACCUUCUGCGUUGCGAUUGCUGCAGGAGACUCACCGUCGAGCUGACGGUACUUAUAUCAGCGAUCGGGUUCAGGAAAUUGAGGAUGCGAUUCAGGCAAAGAUCACCGAUCGUCUCUCCCAGUUAGAGGAGAGUUGUGGAUCGACCCAACUUUCGCCAGCAGAAAUCAACAGCCUCUAUCUGGAGGUUGUCCAACCCGAUGCCAAAGGACGUAUAUACGGCGUCGGUGCAAUGGCGACUCAGUUGGGUGGUGGUCAUCCGGAUGCAACAUCGAUCGGUCACCACGUCUCACUCACUAAGGAGGU
Molecule: long non-coding RNA, 415 nt
Organism: Tarenaya hassleriana
Lineage: Eukaryota; Viridiplantae; Streptophyta; Magnoliopsida; Brassicales; Cleomaceae
Exons: 3
Source: RefSeq, a predicted model, not a curated record